CGCAAUUCGCCUCUCGGGUGCA
This 22-nucleotide microRNA is filed under the name Ascaris suum (pig roundworm). Its description in RNAcentral is "asu-miR-100a-1-3p". Its record names the gene asu-miR-100a-1-3p. The record is from miRBase by way of RNAcentral. Lineage: Eukaryota; Metazoa; Nematoda; Chromadorea; Rhabditida; Ascarididae.